Molecule: ribosomal RNA, 399 nt
Filed under: uncultured bacterium
Lineage: Bacteria
Description: bacterial SSU rRNA
Rfam family: Bacterial small subunit ribosomal RNA
Source: RNAcentral
AUUGAACGCUGGCGGCAUGCUUUACACAUGCAAGUCGAACGGCAGCACGGGCUUCGGCCUGGUGGCGAGUGGCGAACGGGUGAGUAAUGCAUCGGAACGUGCCCAUUUGUGGGGGAUAACUACGCGAAAGCGUGGCUAAUACCGCAUACGCCCUGAGGGGGAAAGCGGGGGAUUCUUCGGAACCUCGCGCAAUUGGAGCGGCCGAUGUCAGAUUAGCUUGUUGGUGAGGUAAAGGCUCACCAAGGCGACGAUCUGUAGCGGGUCUGAGAGGAUGAUCCGCCACACUGGGACUGAGACACGGCCCAGACUCCUACGGGAGGCAGCAGUGGGGAAUUUUGGACAAUGGGGGCAACCCUGAUCCAGCCAUGCCGCGUGAGUGAAGAAGGCCUCGGUUGUAAG